ACGGUGAUGGGAAAGUCGGGGGAGGACGGGGUUUGGGUGGGAGGAUCGGGAGCUCCGUUUUGGACACGCGUUAAAUUUGAGGCGAUUGGGAGGACGUCCAAGUAGAGAUGUCUCGGAGGCGGGAGGAGAUGCGGGCUUGAGAUGUCGAUUUGGGCGUCAUCCGCCUAGAGACUAGAAGGGGACCCAGAACUUGAUCUCGAGGGACCGCCCCCCCCCCCCAGUCAGGGGGUGGGAGGCGAGAAGGAGUCCGCCGAGGAGACCGAGAAUCGGCGGCCAGAGAGAUGAGAGGAGAACCGGGAGAGGACAGGGUCAGUGAAGACAAGGUGGGAUAACGUUUCCGGCAGAAGGGGUGGUCCACAGCGUCAAAGGCGCCGAGAGUAGAGGAGGAUUAGGAUGGAGUAGAGGCCGUUGGAUUUGGCCGGGAGAUCGAAAGCCCAACUGGAGGAGGGUCGAGGAGAGAAACGGAGGAGAGAAACAGCGAUUUAGCUCAAGGAGUUUGGAGAGGAAAGGUAGGAGGGAGAUGGGGCGGUACCUGGAGGGGGCCGUGGGGUCGAGGGAGGUCUGUCUCUCUUUAGGACAGGGGAGACGUAGACGUGUUUGAAAGCAGAGGGGACGAAGGCUUGGAAGCCACCUCGGGUGUCCUGAGACUGGGGUUCUGCAAUCAAUCAGACGGCCAGAGCCAAGUCAAGCAGAGCACCCAGUCAGCGGACGGACCUUUCCGCUCUUCAGCCCGGCGUGAAUUGCGCUCCUUUUUAGAGCCAUUUCUCUGAAGCUGAGGAGACUGGGGUCUCCGAACCCCCGGAUGAGGAUCCGUUCAGCGCUACAUGUCCCGAGCCCCGGGGAACGUGUCUCCUAUAUCGCUGCACCGUACCAAAUCAAGCCGAAGCGGUCUCGCGAGGCCAGACGACUCGACUCGGCACGUUCCGGACACCCCCUCGUCAGGACCGACUCCCCGGAGAAGCAGCCGACGCCCGGAAAAGUCCCGGGGAAAGGCGGAAGAGGGAGACCGGCAGCUUGACGGAGAGAGACCGUAGCAAGGGCGACGGAAGGACCGUCGGCGAGGCGCCGGAUCUCGGCAGGAGACGGGACCUUCCGGGGAAAAAAUAUAUCAGAGCCUGGGCUUUGGAGUCAGAGGCCGCGAGUUCAAAUCCCAGCUCUGCCACUUGUCCGGCUGCGGGGACCACCGGGGGCGAGUCGCUUCGCUGCUCCAAUGGGCCUCAGUCGCCUCAUCUGUAAAAUGGGGAUGAAGACCGCGAGCCCCUCGUGGGACGACCCGAUUCCCCCGCGUCCACCCCGGCGCUUGGCGCGGCGCCCGGCGCCUAGUAAGCGCCUGACAGCUACCGGCAUCAUCAGCCGCAGAGUCGCCGCCGCGAAUCGGGAACUACCCGGCGAUAACAGCAACGAUAUCGUCCCCGGCGCUUAGUACGGCUCUGC
This 1434-nucleotide long non-coding RNA is filed under the name Ornithorhynchus anatinus (platypus). RNAcentral's name for it is "lncRNA (ENSOANG00000043214.1)". The record is from RNAcentral. Lineage: Eukaryota; Metazoa; Chordata; Mammalia; Monotremata; Ornithorhynchidae.